GGAGAGGUGGCCGAGUGGUUUAAGGCAGCGGUCUUGAAAACCGCCGUGGCAGCGAUGUCACCGUGGGUUCGAAUCCCACCCUCUCCGCCA
RNAcentral lists this transfer RNA (90 nucleotides) under Pseudofulvimonas gallinarii. Its description in RNAcentral is "tRNA-Ser". It matches the Rfam family "tRNA". From Rfam's summary of the family: Transfer RNA (tRNA) molecules are approximately 80 nucleotides in length. The record is from RNAcentral. Lineage: Bacteria; Pseudomonadati; Pseudomonadota; Gammaproteobacteria; Lysobacterales; Rhodanobacteraceae.